CUUUCUUUGCUGGCGACCGGCGCACGGGUGAGUAACACGUAUCCAACCUGCCCUUUACUCGGGGAUAGCCUUUCGAAAGAAAGAUUAAUACCCGAUAGCAUAAUGAUUCCGCAUGGUUUCAUUAUUAAAGGAUUCCGGUAAAGGAUGGGGAUGCGUUCCAUUAGGUUGUUGGUGGGGUAACGGCCCACCAAGCCUUCGAUAGAUAGGGGUUCUGAGAGGAAGGUCCCCCACAUUGGAACUGAGACACGGUCCAA
RNAcentral lists this ribosomal RNA (254 nucleotides) under uncultured bacterium. Its description in RNAcentral is "partial 16S ribosomal RNA". It matches the Rfam family "Bacterial small subunit ribosomal RNA", at positions 79 to 334 of the family's 1533-position model. The record is from RNAcentral.